RNAcentral lists this ribosomal RNA (216 nucleotides) under uncultured fungus. RNAcentral describes it as "partial small subunit ribosomal RNA". The stretch from base 92 to 216 matches the Rfam family "Eukaryotic small subunit ribosomal RNA", at positions 738 to 864 of the family's 1831-position model. Lineage: Eukaryota; Fungi. The record is from RNAcentral.
GGCCUUGCUGGGCGGUCCGCUUAACGGCGUGUACUGUCUGGCGGGGUCUUACUUCUUGGUGAGCCGGCGUGCCCUUUAUUGGUGUGCGUCGGGGAACCAGGACUUUUACCUUGAGAAAAUUAGAGUGUUCAAAGCAGGCAUUUGCCUGAAUACAUUAGCAUGGAAUAAUAAAAUAGGACGUGUGGUUCUAUUUUGUUGGUUUCUAGAAUCGCCGUA